CCUGAAGAGCCUAAAGAUUAAGAAGAGUGAUAAAUCUUCAGAAGGUAUGCUCGUAAUUGAAUCUAAUCUUAUGGUUUCUACUUCUAGUUGGAUAUUAGACUCUAGUUUGAGUACUCAUAUAUGUACCUCAUUGCAGGAUCUAAUAGAAAGUAGAAGGUUGAGAAAAGGUGAUAUGAUCCUUCGGAUCGGUAAUGGAGUAAAAAUUACUACAGAAGCUGUUGGCACUUAUCCUCUUCG
Molecule: long non-coding RNA, 237 nt
Filed under: Elaeis guineensis (African oil palm)
Lineage: Eukaryota; Viridiplantae; Streptophyta; Magnoliopsida; Arecales; Arecaceae
Description: long non-coding RNA (EGUI_LNC041644)
Source: RNAcentral